RNAcentral lists this ribosomal RNA (840 nucleotides) under uncultured Alphaproteobacteria bacterium. Its description in RNAcentral is "bacterial SSU rRNA". It matches the Rfam family "Bacterial small subunit ribosomal RNA", at positions 28 to 917 of the family's 1533-position model. The record is from RNAcentral. Lineage: Bacteria; Pseudomonadati; Pseudomonadota; Alphaproteobacteria.
AACGAACGCUGGCUGCAGGCCUAACACAUGCAAGUCGAGCGCACCUUCGGGUGAGCGGCGGACGGGUUAGUAACGCGUGGGAACGUACCCAGAUCUAAGGAAUAGCCACUGGAAACGGUGAGUAAUACCUUAUACGCCCUUCGGGGGAAAGAUUUAUCGGAUUUGGAUCGGCCCGCGUUAGAUUAGGUAGUUGGUGGGGUAAUGGCCUACCAAGCCUACGAUCUAUAGCUGGUUUUAGAGGAUGAUCAGCAACACUGGGACUGAGACACGGCCCAGACUCCUACGGGAGGCAGCAGUGGGGAAUCUUAGACAAUGGGGGAAACCCUGAUCUAGCCAUGCCGCGUGAGUGAUGAAGGUCUUAGGAUCGUAAAGCUCUUUCGCCAGGGAUGAUAAUGACAGUACCUGGUAAAGAAACCCCGGCUAACUCCGUGCCAGCAGCCGCGGUAAUACGGAGGGGGUUAGCGUUGUUCGGAAUUACUGGGCGUAAAGCGCGCGUAGGCGGAUCGGAAAGUUGGGGGUGAAAUCCCGGGGCUCAACCCCGGAACUGCCUCCAAAACUAUCGGUCUAGAGUUCGAGAGAGGUGAGUGGAACUCCGAGUGUAGAGGUGAAAUUCGUAGAUAUUCGGAAGAACACCAGUGGCGAAGGCGGCUCACUGGCUCGAUACUGACGCUGAGGUGCGAAAGUGUGGGGAGCAAACAGGAUUAGAUACCCUGGUAGUCCACACCGUAAACGAUGAAUGCCAGUCGUCGGGCAGUAUACUGUUCGGUGACACACCUAACGGAUUAAGCAUUCCGCCUGGGGAGUCCGGUCGCAAGAUUAAAACUCAAAGGAAUUGACGGG